GAUGAACGCUGGCGGCGUGCUUAACACAUGCAAGUCGAACGGAAAGGCCUCUGCUUGCAGAGGUACUCGAGUGGCGAACGGGUGAGUAACACGUGGGUGAUCUGCCCUGCACUUCGGGAUAAGCCUGGGAAACUGGGUCUAAUACCGGAUAGGACGAUGGUUUGGAUGCCGUUGUGGAAAGUUUUCUCGGUGUGGGAUGAGCUCGCGGCCUAUCAGCUUGUUGGUGGGGUAAUGGCCUACCAAGGCGUCGACAGGUAGCCGGCCUGAGAGGGUGUACGGCCACAUUGGGACUGAGAUACGGCCCAGACUCCUACGGGAGGCAGCAGUGGGGAAUAUUGCACAAUGGGCGCAAGCCUGAUGCAGCGACGCCGCGUGGGGGAUGACGGCCUUCGGGUUGUAAACUCCUUUCGCCAGGGACGAAGCGUUUUUGUGACGGUACCUGGAGAAGAAGCACCGGCUAACUACGUGCCAGCAGCCGCGGUAAUACGUAGGGUGCGAGCGUUGUCCGGAAUUACUGGGCGUAGAGAGCUCGUAGGUGGUUUGUCGCGUCGUUUGUGUAAGCCCGCAGCUUAACUGCGGGACUGCAGGCGAUACGGGCAUAACUUGAGUGCUGUAGGGGAGACUGGAAUUCCUGGUGUAGCGGUGGAAUGCGCAGAUAUCAGGAGGAACACCGAUGGCGAAGGCAGGUCUCUGGGCAGUAACUGACGCUGAGGAGCGAAAGCAUGGGGAGCGAACAGGAUUAGAUACCCUGGUAGUCCAUGCCGUAAACGGUGGGCGCUAGGUGUGAGUCCCUUCCACGGGGUUCGUGCCGUAGCUAACGCAUUAAGCGCCCCGCCUGGGGAGUACGGCCGCAAGGCUAAAACUCAAAGGAAUUGACGGGGGCCCGCACAAGCGGCGGAGCAUGUGGAUUAAUUCGAUGCAACGCGAAGAACCUUACCUGGGCUUGACAUACACCAGAUCGCCGUAGAGAUACGGUUUCCCUUUGUGGUUGGUGUACAGGUGGUGCAUGGUUGUCGUCAGCUCGUGUCGUGAGAUGUUGGGUUAAGUCCCGCAACGAGCGCAACCCUUGUCUUAUGUUGCCAGCAAUUCGGUUGGGGACUCAUGAGAGACUGCCGGGGUUAACUCGGAGGAAGGUGGGGAUGACGUCAAAUCAUCAUGCCCCUUAUGUCCAGGGCUUCACACAUGCUACAAUGGUCGGUACAACGCGUCUUGCGAGCCUGUGAGGGUGUGCUAAUCGCUGAAAGCCGGCCUUAGUUCGGAUUGGGGUCUGCAACUCGACCCCAUGAAGUCGGAGUCGCUAGUAAUCGCAGAUCAGCAACGCUGCGGUGAAUACGUUCCCGGGCCU
RNAcentral lists this ribosomal RNA (1345 nucleotides) under uncultured bacterium. Its description in RNAcentral is "bacterial SSU rRNA". It matches the Rfam family "Bacterial small subunit ribosomal RNA", at positions 28 to 1381 of the family's 1533-position model. The record is from RNAcentral.